GACGAACGCUGGCGGCGUGCCUAACACAUGCAAGUCGAACGAGUGGCGAACGGGUGAGUACUACGUGAGAACCCUGCCCUCUCUUUGGGUUAAGACUUGGAAACGGGGUCUAAUACUGGAUAACGGGUUAUGGGCUCGCGGCUUAUCAGCGUGUUGGUGCGGUGAAGGCCUACCAAGGCGGUGACGGGUAGCCGGCGUGAGCGGGUGACCGGCGACAGUGGGACUGGGAAACGGCCCAGACUCCUACGGGGGGCAGCAGUGGGGGAUAUUGCACAAUGUGCGAAAGCCUGAUGCAGCGACGCCGAGUGAGGGAUGAAGGCUUUAGGGUUGUAAACCUCUUUCGCUAUCGAACGGGUAGGUGGAGAAGAAGCGCCGGCUAACUACGUGCCAGCAGCCGCGGUAAUAC
This 406-nucleotide ribosomal RNA is filed under the name uncultured bacterium. RNAcentral's name for it is "partial 16S ribosomal RNA". It matches the Rfam family "Bacterial small subunit ribosomal RNA", at positions 28 to 526 of the family's 1533-position model. The record is from RNAcentral.